RNAcentral lists this ribosomal RNA (1289 nucleotides) under Vibrio sp. RNAcentral's name for it is "bacterial SSU rRNA". It matches the Rfam family "Bacterial small subunit ribosomal RNA", at positions 10 to 1276 of the family's 1533-position model. Lineage: Bacteria; Pseudomonadati; Pseudomonadota; Gammaproteobacteria; Vibrionales; Vibrionaceae. The record is from RNAcentral.
AGUUUUGAAUCAUGGCUCAGAUUGAACGCUGGCGGCAGGCCUAACACAUGCAAGUCGAGCGGAAACGAGUUAUCUGAACCUUCGGGGGACGAUAACGGCGUCGAGCGGCGGACGGGUGAGUAAUGCCUAGGAAAUUGCCCUGAUGUGGGGGAUAACCAUUGGAAACGAUGGCUAAUACCGCAUGAUGCCUACGGGCCAAAGAGGGGGACCUUCGGGCCUCUCGCGUCAGGAUAUGCCUAGGUGGGAUUAGCUAGUUGGUGAGGUAAGGGCUCACCAAGGCGACGAUCCCUAGCUGGUCUGAGAGGAUGAUCAGCCACACUGGAACUGAGACACGGUCCAGACUCCUACGGGAGGCAGCAGUGGGGAAUAUUGCACAAUGGGCGCAAGCCUGAUGCAGCCAUGCCGCGUGUGUGAAGAAGGCCUUCGGGUUGUAAAGCACUUUCAGUCGUGAGGAAGGUAGUGUAGUUAAUAGCUGCAUUAUUUGACGUUAGCGACAGAAGAAGCACCGGCUAACUCCGUGCCAGCAGCCGCGGUAAUACGGAGGGUGCGAGCGUUAAUCGGAAUUACUGGGCGUAAAGCGCAUGCAGGUGGUUUGUUAAGUCAGAUGUGAAAGCCCGGGGCUCAACCUCGGAAUUGCAUUUGAAACUGGCAGACUAGAGUACUGUAGAGGGGGGUAGAAUUUCAGGUGUAGCGGUGAAAUGCGUAGAGAUCUGAAGGAAUACCGGUGGCGAAGGCGGCCCCCUGGACAGAUACUGACACUCAGAUGCGAAAGCGUGGGGAGCAAACAGGAUUAGAUACCCUGGUAGUCCACGCCGUAAACGAUGUCUACUUGGAGGUUGUGGCCUUGAGCCGUGGCUUUCGGAGCUAACGCGUUAAGUAGACCGCCUGGGGAGUACGGUCGCAAGAUUAAAACUCAAAUGAAUUGACGGGGGCCCGCACAAGCGGUGGAGCAUGUGGUUUAAUUCGAUGCAACGCGAAGAACCUUACCUACUCUUGACAUCCAGAGAACUUUCCAGAGAUGGAUUGGUGCCUUCGGGAACUCUGAGACAGGUGCUGCAUGGCUGUCGUCAGCUCGUGUUGUGAAAUGUUGGGUUAAGUCCCGCAACGAGCGCAACCCUUAUCCUUGUUUGCCAGCGAGUAAUGUCGGGAACUCCAGGGAGACUGCCGGUGAUAAACCGGAGGAAGGUGGGGACGACGUCAAGUCAUCAUGGCCCUUACGAGUAGGGCUACACACGUGCUACAAUGGCGCAUACAGAGGGCGGCCAACUUGCGAAAGUGAGCGAAUCCCA